GACGAGCGCUGGCGGCGUGCUUAACACAUGCCAGUCGAACGGAAAGGCCCUGCUUUUGUGGGGUGCUCGAGUGGCGAACGGGUGAGUAACACGUGAGUAACCUGCCCUUGACUUUGGGAUAACUUCAGGAAACUGGGGCUAAUACCGGAUAGGAGCUCCUGCUGCAUGGUGGGGGUUGGAAAGUUUCGGCGGUUGGGGAUGGACUCGCGGCUUAUCAGCUUGUUGGUGGGGAAGUGGCUUACCAAGGCUUUGACGGGUAGCCGGCCUGAGAGGGUGACCGGCCACAUUGGGACUGAGAUACGGCCCAGACUCCUACGGGAGGCAGCAGUGGGGAAUAUUGCACAAUGGGCGGAAGCCUGAUGCAGCAACGCCGCGUGCGGGAUGACGGCCUUCGGGUUGUAAACCGCUUUCGCCUGUGACGAAGCGUGAGUGACGGUAAUGGGUAAAGAAGCACCGGCUAACUACGUG
This 468-nucleotide ribosomal RNA is filed under the name uncultured bacterium. RNAcentral describes it as "partial 16S ribosomal RNA". It matches the Rfam family "Bacterial small subunit ribosomal RNA", at positions 28 to 507 of the family's 1533-position model. The record is from RNAcentral.